This 496-nucleotide ribosomal RNA is filed under the name uncultured bacterium. RNAcentral describes it as "partial 16S ribosomal RNA". It matches the Rfam family "Bacterial small subunit ribosomal RNA", at positions 28 to 506 of the family's 1533-position model. The record is from RNAcentral.
GAUGAACGCUGGCGGCGUGCCUAAUACAUGCAAGUCGAGCGAACGGACGAGAAGCUUGCUUCUCUGAUGUUAGCGGCGGACGGGUGAGUAACACGUGGAUAACCUACCUAUAAGACUGGGAUAACUUCGGGAAACCGGAGCUAAUACCGGAUAAUAUUUUGAACCGCAUGGUUCAAAAGUGAAAGACGGUCUUGCUGUCACUUAUAGAUGGAUCCGCGCUGCAUUAGCUAGUUGGUAAGGUAACGGCUUACCAAGGCAACGAUGCAUAGCCGACCUGAGAGGGUGAUCGGCCACUCUGGAACUGAGACACGGUCCAGACUCCUACGGGAGGCAGCAGCAGGGAAGCUUCCGCAAUGGGCGAAAGCCUGACGGAGCAACGCCGCGUGAGUGAUGAAGGUCUUCGGAUCGUAAAACUCUGUUAUUAGGGAAGAACAUAUGUGUAAGUAACUGUGCACAUCUUGACGGUACCUAAUCAGAAAGCCACGGCUAACUACGU